AAAUGUGAGGGAAAUCUGAUUGCAAAGUCUGUCACUCCACUGAUUGCCAGGGUUGAUUCCACUGAUCUAGCUGCCUAGGUGGGUGUCCUCUUUCUCCCCCACUGCUCUGUAUGCAUCCCUCCUGAGGCUGUACCUUUGGUAGAAGAGGAUGACCAUUCUGCUAGAGGAGAAACAUUCUUUGGUCAAGAAUAUAUGAGCAGCCACGCUCCCCUGCCAGAACCCCCAAACAAACUCUUAAGAGUACAUUGUUCCCUUUAUGCGAGAAUAACUGACUAGUUAAAAGAAAGAUAUUGCCACAAUCUUUGAAUAUUUUCAGAGUUGU
This 322-nucleotide small nuclear RNA is filed under the name Carlito syrichta (Philippine tarsier). Its description in RNAcentral is "7SK RNA (ENSTSYG00000032872.1)". It matches the Rfam family "7SK RNA". From Rfam's summary of the family: 7SK was discovered as an abundant small nuclear RNA in the mid-70s but a possible function has only recently been suggested. Two independent studies have found that 7SK RNA binds the CDK9/cyclin T complex (known as elongation factor P-TEFb). The record is from Rfam by way of RNAcentral. Lineage: Eukaryota; Metazoa; Chordata; Mammalia; Primates; Tarsiidae.